This 313-nucleotide ribosomal RNA is filed under the name uncultured soil bacterium. Its description in RNAcentral is "bacterial SSU rRNA". It matches the Rfam family "Bacterial small subunit ribosomal RNA", at positions 1082 to 1397 of the family's 1533-position model. The record is from RNAcentral.
AAGUCCCGUAACGAGCGCAACCCUCGUCUUUAGUUGCUACCAUUUAGUUGGGCACUCUAAAGAAACUGCCGGUGAUAAGCCGGAGGAAGGUGGGGAUGACGUCAAGUCCUCAUGGCCCUUACGCGCUGGGCUACACACGUGCUACAAUGGCGGCGACAGUGGGCAGCAAACUCGCGAGAGUGAGCAAAUCCCAAAAAGCCGUCUCAGUUCGGAUUGUUCUCUGCAACUCGAGAGCAUGAAGGCGGAAUCGCUAGUAAUCGCGGAUCAGCAUGCCGCGGUGAAUACGUUCCCAGGCCUUGUACACACCGCCCGU